RNAcentral lists this ribosomal RNA (492 nucleotides) under uncultured bacterium. Its description in RNAcentral is "partial 16S ribosomal RNA". It matches the Rfam family "Bacterial small subunit ribosomal RNA", at positions 29 to 507 of the family's 1533-position model. The record is from RNAcentral.
AGUGAACGCUGGCGGUAGGCCUAACACAUGCAAGUCGAACGGCAGCACAGUAAGAGCUUGCUCUUACGGGUGGCGAGUGGCGGACGGGUGAGGAAUACAUCGGAAUCUACUUUUUCGUGGGGGAUAACGUAGGGAAACUUACGCUAAUACCGCAUACGACCUACGGGUGAAAGCAGGGGAUCUUCGGACCUUGCGCGAUUGAAUGAGCCGAUGUCGGAUUAGCUAGUUGGCGGGGUAAAGGCACACCAAGGCGACGAUCCGUAGCUGGUCUGAGAGGAUGAUCGGCCACACUGGAACUGAGACACGGUCCAGACUCCUACGGGAGGCAGCAGUGGGGAAUAUUGGACAAAGGGCGCAAGCCUGAUCCAGCCAUACCGCGUGGGUGAAGAAGGCCUUCGGGUUGUAAAGCCCUUUUGUUGGGAAAGAAAAGCAGCAGGUUAAUACCCCGCUGUUCUGACGGUACCCAAAGAAUAAGCACCGGCUAACUUCGUG